CCCGAAGGCAAAUCGUUGGUCCUAGGGCUCCCUCCGCCCCUUUCCACAUGCGGUCCUGACCUGCCCGUGACUCACCCCGGCAUUGGGUUCCGCGUGCGCGCGUGUGCUAGUGCGAUUUGCAAGCUUGACAGGAAGAAGUAUGCUGUAGUGGAAAGUGCACUGCAUUUGGAAUCAGAUGACCUGUUCCAAUCCUGGCUCUAUCAUUUAAUAUCUUGCAGGAACCCUAGAGAGGGGAGGGAGACAAGAAAAUACUAAAUGGAGAAAAAAGAAAACAUGCAACAUUAAGAGAGGAGGCCAAAUUCCUUAGAUGAUAUUCUGGAAUGGUUUUUCCCUGCCCAGAAAAAGUGGAUUAAAGUUUGUUCAGUUAUUUUUCAGUUGUGGCCAAUUCUUCGUGACCCCAUUGGGGAUUUUCUUGGCAAAGAUACCGGAGUGGUUUGACAUUUCUUUUCCAUCUUAACUCUCAGAUGAGGAAACUGGGGCAAACAGGGUAAAAUGACAUGCCCCAAGUCACACAGUUCCUAUGUAUCUGAGACUGGAUUUGAACUGAGGUAGCAUUUAUUCUCUAUGCCACCUCACUGUCCCUGGAUUAAAGUCACAGUUCUCUGAUAAAGAACUGAAUGAUGAAUUUCCUUGCUUUUCUAUACCCCAAUCUCUUUUGGCCUUUUCUCUGAAUCUUCCACUUUUUGUACACUUCAGUUCUAGCAUUCUCAUUUUUCUUCUCUUUAUCUUUAGAGAUCAGGAAGCAUUCCGGGAAAUAAAAAAGUUAGAAAACCUACCACCCAUACACACAGCACAAACUUUUUCACAAUUUGUUCAUUUGUUUCAUCUCUUCAUUUCAAUGCUUUGCGACUAAGACUAGAGAUAGAGCCUAACUGGAGAAUAACUCUGAAACAAAAAAUAAAUGUGUUUUCCUUGUUGACCAACAUUCUUUUCUGGAUGAUGCCCUGAAAAGAUAUUUGUAUGCUUGAAGACUGCGUAGAUUCUGUUUCUGCCAUUAGCUUGUUAGGUGUUUGGGGUAAGUUGCUUAACCCCUGACUCGGUUCAUGUAUGUAUAAAAGUUGU
Non-coding RNA from Monodelphis domestica (gray short-tailed opossum), 1062 nucleotides. Lineage: Eukaryota; Metazoa; Chordata; Mammalia; Didelphimorphia; Didelphidae. The record is from RefSeq and is a predicted model, not a curated record.